UACAGAGGGUGCGAGCGUUAUUCGGAAUUACUGGGCGUAAAGCGUGCGUAGACGGUUAUUUAAGUCGGAUGUGAAAGCCCCGGGCUCAACCUGGGAAUUGCAUUCGAGACUGCAUAGCUAGGGUGCGGUAGAGGGAAGCGGAAUUUCCGGUGUAGCGGUGAAAUGCGUAGAUAUCGGAAGGAACAUCAGUGGCGAAAGCGGCUUCCUGGACCAGCACGGACGGUCAGGCACGAAAGCGUGGGGAGCAAACAGG
This 253-nucleotide ribosomal RNA is filed under the name uncultured bacterium. RNAcentral describes it as "partial 16S ribosomal RNA". It matches the Rfam family "Bacterial small subunit ribosomal RNA", at positions 524 to 776 of the family's 1533-position model. The record is from RNAcentral.